AGAGUUUGAUCCUGGCUCANGACGAACGCUGGCGGCGUGCUUAACACAUGCAAGUCGAGCGGAAAGGCCCUUCGGGGUACUCGAGCGGCGAACGGGUGAGUAACACGUGAGCAAUCUGCCCUUAGCUUCGGGAUAGCUCCGGGAAACCGGAAUUAAUACCGGAUAUGACCAUGGCCGACAUCAGCCAUGGUGGAAAGUUUUUCGGCUAGGGAUGAGCUCGCGGCCUAUCAGCUAGUUGGUGGGGCAAUGGCCUACCAAGGCGACGACGGGUAGCCGGCCUGAGAGGGCGACCGGCCACACUGGGACUGAGACACGGCCCAGACUCCUACGGGAGGCAGCAGUGGGGAAUAUUGCGCAAUGGGCGAAAGCCUGACGCAGCGACGCCGCGUGGGGGAUGAAGGCCUUCGGGUUGUAAACCCCUUUCAGCAGGGACGAAGCGAAAGUGACGGUACCUGCAGAAGAAGCGCCGGCUAACUACGUGCCAGCCGCCGCGGUAAUAC
Molecule: ribosomal RNA, 500 nt
Filed under: uncultured soil bacterium
Lineage: Bacteria
Description: bacterial SSU rRNA
Rfam family: Bacterial small subunit ribosomal RNA
Source: RNAcentral